GUAGGUGAACCUGCGGAGGGAUCAAUGCAGUGCGGAUUGAAGGGGUGGGGGGUAUGCAUGUGUGUCAUGUGUGUCGAUACACACACUCGACAUGAGCAUGUUGCACCCUCACGAUACUACAACCAACCAACCUGUUGAACGGAGAGUGGGCGAUGCGAGUCGUCCAUCUGCUAGCUAAAACGAUGCAGUAUGAUACACGAAGUGUAUUAGAAAAGAAAAAUAGUAAAAACGAAAUGACAACUUUUAACAA
This 250-nucleotide unclassified non-coding RNA is filed under the name plant metagenome. RNAcentral's name for it is "partial contains small subunit ribosomal RNA, internal transcribed spacer 1, and 5.8S ribosomal RNA". The record is from RNAcentral.